Molecule: ribosomal RNA, 253 nt
Filed under: uncultured bacterium
Lineage: Bacteria
Description: partial 16S ribosomal RNA
Rfam family: Bacterial small subunit ribosomal RNA
Source: RNAcentral
UACGGGGGGGGUAAGCGUUGUUCGGAAUUACUGGGCGUAAAGGGCUCGUAGGCGGCCAACUAAGUCGGACGUGAAAUCCCUCAGCUUAACUGGGGAACUGCGUCCGAUACUGGAUGGCUUGGAUUUGGGAGAGGGAAGCGGAAUUCCGGGUGUAGCGGUGAAAUGCGUAGAUAUCCGGAGGAACACCGGUGGCGAAGGCGGCUUCCUGGACCGACACUGACGCUGAGGCGCGAAAGCUAGGGGAGCAAACGGG